Molecule: ribosomal RNA, 495 nt
Filed under: uncultured bacterium
Lineage: Bacteria
Description: partial 16S ribosomal RNA
Rfam family: Bacterial small subunit ribosomal RNA
Source: RNAcentral
GAUGAACGCUAGCGGGAGGCCUAACACAUGCAAGCCGAGCGGUAUUGUUUCUUCGGAAAUGAGAGAGCGGCGUACGGGUGCGGAACACGUGUGCAACCUGCCUUUAUCAGGGGGAUAGCCUUUCGAAAGGAAGAUUAAUACCCCAUAAUAUAUUGAAUGGCAUCAUUUGAUAUUGAAAACUCCGGUGGAUAGAGAUGGGCACGCGCAAGAUUAGAUAGUUGGUAGGGUAACGGCCUACCAAGUCAGUGAUCUUUAGGGGGCCUGAGAGGGUGAUCCCCCACACUGGUACUGAGACACGGACCAGACUCCUACGGGAGGCAGCAGUGAGGAAUAUUGGACAAUGGGUGAGAGCCUGAUCCAGCCAUCCCGCGUGAAGGACGACGGCCCUAUGGGUUGUAAACUUCUUUUGUAUAGGGAUAAACCUAGAUACGUGUAUCUAGCUGAAGGUACUAUACGAAUAAGCACCGGCUAACUCCGUGCCAGCAGCCGCCGUAA